CUACGGGAGGCUCCAGUGGGGAAUAUUGGACAAUGGGGGAAACCCUGAUCCAGCAAUGCCGCGUGUGUGAAGAAGGCCUGCGGGUUGUAAAGCACUUUCGGUUGGGAGGACUGCUUCUAGCACUAAUAUUGUUGGAAGUUGACGUUACCUUCAGAAGAAGCACCGGCUAACUCCGUGCCAGCAGCUGCGGUAAUACUGAGGGUGCAAGCGUUAAUCGGAAUUACUGGGCGUAAAGCGCGCGUAGGCGGCUAGAUCAGUCGGGUGUGAAAGCCCCGGGCUUAACCUGGGAACUGCAUCCGAUACUGUCUAGCUUGAGUACAGGAGAGGAGAGUGGAAUUCCACAUGUAGCGGUGAAAUGCGUAGAUAUGUGGAGGAACACCAAUGGCGAAGGCAACUCUCUGGCCUGAUACUGACGCUGAGGUGCGAAAGCGUGGGGAGCAAACAGGAUUAGAUACCCCUGUAGUC
This 465-nucleotide ribosomal RNA is filed under the name uncultured bacterium. Its description in RNAcentral is "partial 16S ribosomal RNA". It matches the Rfam family "Bacterial small subunit ribosomal RNA", at positions 339 to 795 of the family's 1533-position model. The record is from RNAcentral.